Molecule: unclassified non-coding RNA, 205 nt
Filed under: uncultured fungus
Lineage: Eukaryota; Fungi
Description: sequence contains ITS1, 5.8S rRNA gene
Source: RNAcentral
UGUUUAUUUAACUUUUUGGACAAGACAUUCUAGGACAUUCAGAGUUUAUGAGAAAAGAAUACAUAGGCCGAUGAUCUCGAGCCUACAAAAAGUGCACAGGUGUGAUGAGGUCAGAAUAUUCAAGGAGUGCACAUGCCUGUUGAAAAAGGCCAGCAACAUCCCCGAGUGUUCAGUAAUGAUCCUUCCGCAGGUUCACCUACGGAAA